UACAGAGGUCUCAACCGUUGUUCGGAUUCAUUGGGCGUAAAGGGUGCGUAGGCGGUCGUGCAAGUCGGAUGUGAAAUCUCAGGGCUCAACCCUGAAACUGCAUUCGAUACUGCGCGGCUAGAGUGCUGGAGGGGAGACUGGAAUUUACGGUGUAGCAGUGAAAUGCGUAGAUAUCGUAAGGAGGACCAGUGGCGAAGGCGAGUCUCUGGACAGCAACUGACGCUGAGGCACGAAGGCCAGGGGAGCAAACGGG
Molecule: ribosomal RNA, 253 nt
Filed under: uncultured bacterium
Lineage: Bacteria
Description: partial 16S ribosomal RNA
Rfam family: Bacterial small subunit ribosomal RNA
Source: RNAcentral